Molecule: ribosomal RNA, 820 nt
Filed under: uncultured ANME-2 cluster archaeon
Lineage: Archaea; Methanobacteriati; Methanobacteriota; Methanomicrobia; Methanosarcinales
Description: bacterial SSU rRNA
Rfam family: Archaeal small subunit ribosomal RNA
Source: RNAcentral
AGAGGGGUAAGCCCUCAGCAUAUUGCUCAGUAACACGCGGAUAACCUGCCCUUGGGUCUGGGAUAACCCCGGGAAACUGGGACUAAUACCGGAUAAAUCAAAGAAACUGGAAUGUUCUUUGGUUGAAAGCUCCGGCGCCCAAGGAUGGGUCUGCGGCCUAUCAGGUAGUAGUGGGUGUAACGUACCUACUAGCCUACGACGGGUAAGGGUUGUGAGAGCAAGAGCCCUGAGAUGGAUUCUGAGACAUGAAUCCAGGCCCUACGGGGUGCAGCAGGCGCGAAAACUUUACACUGCGGGAAACCGCGAUAAGGGGACCCCGAGUGCCAGCACCUAGUGCUGGCUGUCCAGCUGUUCAAAAAACAGUUGUUAGCAAGGGCCGGGCAAGACCGGUGCCAGCCGCCGCGGUAACACCGGCGGCCCGAGUGGUAGCCGUUAUUAUUGGGUUUAAAGGGUCCGUAGCCGGCUUAUUAAGUCUCUUGGGAAAUCUGGCGACUCAAUCGUCAGGCGUUCAAGAGAUACUGGUAGGCUUGGGACCGGGAGAGGUGGGAGGUACUCCAGGGGUAGGGGUGAAAUCUCGUAAUCCUUGGGGGACCACCGAUGGCGAAGGCAUCCCACCAGAACGGGUCCGACGGUGAGGGACGAAAGCUGGGGGCACGAACCGGAUUAGAUACCCGGGUAGUCCCAGCCGUAAACGAUGCUCGCUAGGUGUCAGAUGCGGUGCGACCGCAUCUGGUGCCGUCGUGAAAACUUGAAGCGAGUCACCUGGGAAGUACGGUCGCAAGGCUGAAACUUAAAAGGAAUUGGCGGGGGAGCACUACAA